UUCGAGCGUCAUUACACACCUCAAGUCAAACUUUUGGUUAACUUGGUUUUGGGCCUUGCCGGAAGGCAUGCCUAAAAAUUAGCGAUGGUACGUUAAACCACGGGACGCACAAAUGUCGUUGCGUAGGGGCACGGCACCAGUCUAAUGAUUAAUUUCUCAAUGUUGACCUCGGAUCAGGUAGGAAUACCCGCUGAACUUAA
This 200-nucleotide unclassified non-coding RNA is filed under the name soil metagenome. RNAcentral's name for it is "partial contains internal transcribed spacer 2 and large subunit ribosomal RNA". The record is from RNAcentral.